UCUGCUUUUUACAUUUUUUUAUUGAACUGCAAAUUUUUUUAUUUUUUUUUUAGUAAAAAAAUAUGCCUAAGAACAUUUCAUAAAAAAAUAAAAAAAAACUGAGGCCAAGAAGGCACAAUCCAAAAGGUGAGUUUUCACAUUUUGGACUAUUUUGACAUUUUUUUUUUUAGUUUGUAUUUUUCAGAAGCAAGUCCCCAUAGAAACUUUAUCUGAGGAAGAGGCUGAGGAUUUAACCCAAGUUGACUCUGAAGUUGGCUCAAGUUGGGCUACAAGCCCAUGUAAACAAACUGUGCCUAAGAAAAAUAUUCAAAAAACAAAUGAGCCCAAGAUGUCCAAAUAAAAAAAGGGGAGUUUUCACUUUUUUGACUGUUCUGACAAUUUUUACUGGCAAUGAUUUCUUAUUUUUUUUUAUUUUUUUGCAGAAGCAGAUGCCCGUAGAAUCCUCAUCAGAGGAGGUGGAGAAUACUGUGUCAGAAGUUGGAUCAAGACGAGCAACAAGCCCAAGUUCGGAAGAGUUUUCCAUAAGCAAACAGGACUUGGUAUCAAAGGAGGAUAGUGUCCCGCAUGUGUCGGCCCCCCAGGACUCCCAGAAUAGAUCUCCCAAAGAGCCUCAACCACGUACCCCGCCUUGGCCAACAAGGGGAAAGAGGCGGCAGGAAUCAUGGCAGAGGACGUGGUCGUGUGAGUAUGUAUUAAAUAGAUAUUCUUGUUUUAAGUGUACUUUGGAAGUCAGUUGCCCAUAGCAACUGAUCACAUUGCUUCUUGAUUCUUUUGCUUGUUUCCUUAAAGCUUUAAAGAGCCAAUGUGAUUGCUUGUGUAGUCAACUGAAUACACUACAGUGUUUGCAAAACUAUUAACAGAAUCUUUCAAGUUUCAGGGUGGUGCAGGUGCUGGUCGGGUGCACAUCGAAGGGGGCAGGACGAGCUGGAGAUCAUAAUAGACACUGAUCUAAUUGCGAUGGUCGAGGCGCGUCCUGCUCUGUGGGAUUCGUCCGACCCACAACACACCAAGUGGCAAUAUUAGCAGACUCUUUGGAUGGGGAUGUAUCGUGCCAUCUGCACCAACUGGGAAUACCUGUCAUCUAAUGAAAGAUGGAGUGUCUAUUAAAGCACAAUGCCAUGUCUGGAAGACUUGAGCAGAAGAGUUGUAUGAAAGCCACUGAACAUCAAAGAAAAAAUAUUAAACAGCUGACACUCAUUUUGCAUCAUUUCAGAUCUGUAUCACACUAAAUAAAUUACCCCACAUGGGAAUUUGCCAUGUUUCUGUAUUUGAAAGUAAAGCAGAGAAGAGAUCAAAAUCAGGCCAUGUCGUCUAUGUGUCUGUCUGGCAGUCGGUGAUUGUAAUUAACCAUAUGCUUACUAUGUGUCUAUAAAUAUAUAGCUGAACUGAGAUUUUGGUCCAAUGUCUAAAAUAUAUAGAACAACGUAGACCAGACUGUGCUCACGUUUGUGAAAUUCAGUGAAAUAUUUUUCUAGUGUCUAGGUAUAUCUGUCCUUGUCUUAAAUUAUAUAUAUAUAUAAAUGUGUCGAAUAUGUGAAAUUUUACUACAGAAAAUGUUCCUUUUGUCCUGUUCCCUUGCCAAUCAUAUAACCAUAUAUGUUUAAACAUAGAAAGACUCGCUCCCAGCAUAAAGCAUAAGUGUUAAGUAAAACAUAAAACAAAAUACAAUUCUUAGAAAUAAUAACCAUUUCCUAUUAUACUAUAGGUGCUAAAUGUUUUUAAAUAGUGGCCUCAAGCAGUGAAUUAAGACCUAGGUUUUAAUUUGUUCCAAUUAAAGUUACAGUUCUGGUUGUAAGAGAAAUAAAUGAAAAUUAUUAAUAAAAAUAAAAGAUGUAUUCUUGUUUA
Hyla sarda is the source of this 1845-nucleotide long non-coding RNA. RefSeq lists it as uncharacterized. The record is from RefSeq and is a predicted model, not a curated record. Lineage: Eukaryota; Metazoa; Chordata; Amphibia; Anura; Hylidae. The transcript is spliced from 5 exons.